Molecule: long non-coding RNA, 6787 nt
Organism: Chelonia mydas (Green sea turtle)
Lineage: Eukaryota; Metazoa; Chordata; Testudines; Cheloniidae
Exons: 3
Source: RefSeq, a predicted model, not a curated record
AGCUGCACUUUAACUGUAGAAGAGCCACAUGUGGCUUGGGAGCUGCAGUUUGGCCACCCCUGUUAUAAUAGCUAUGAUCAGGGUUAGAUGACGCAGCAAAAACACUUGUGCCCUGGCUACAAUACAGCUUUCACUCUCACUGCCAUUGCAGAAUCAUGCUGACACGCUUUCCCAGUGUAGGCAAGAGGGCAGUUUACAAUCUAUCUGGUUGCUGUACCCAGCCAAGGCAAACGUACCAUGAAGCAAGAAUGAAUACAGCACAGAAGACUUCAAAGACACUGAACUCACACUGACAUUAAUGGGAGCUAGACACAGAAACGGGAAGAAUUCAGAACCUGAAUACAGCUAUGCCUGCAGAAUAUAGGAUCCUCCUGGGUCACAUUUUCAAACUUCUCUCCAUAACCAUGAAGUCAGAAACCUCUUCUUUUUUUUAACUGAAAGCUGAUAUUCUCACACGAUCACCUGACUCCAGGAGCAGGGGCUAUAAGAAGAACACCGCCAAAUAUCGUGGGAGUUGGCAAUAACUGUAACUUACAAGUUCUUUACUUUUGACAAAUUGCUUAUUUCUUGUUUGUUUAAUGUCUGUGUCUGGCCUGUCUUUAGAAUGCUAGCUCUUUAGGGCAGAGACUGUCUUUUCCUCUGUGUACACACCAGAGGGUUUUAUUUUGGUGGAGGGCCCCAGGUUCUUCUGUGAUUUAAUUACCACCACCUCCCUCACACAGACACAAUCAUUACAGCAGCGCUGAACCUGUGUGUGCAGUGAUAUUAGUGUUAACUCUGCUUCCGCUGCAAUGAUUAAGCAAUGCUGAGGGGUCUCAUGACUGAAGUCUCAUUGCUACUAAACCAUGCAUCAUUCAUUCCCUUUUACAGCCCAAGUAGAGCUUGUGUUUGAGGCAGAGCACAGACUGUGGUUGAAAUGGAAAAACAGAGGUUUAAAAGGCACCAGCAGAUACUGCUCUGUCAUUAGCCACUGCUGCUAGACUGACAGGUGAAGAGGCAGGUUAAUGAUCAAUUCUGGACUGAUGGAUCUAAGGGCAGCAGGUUUCAGAUUACCACACACUGGUUUUAAAUUACAUUCUGCCUGCUGAAGAUUCCCUCUGCAGUUUCCAUUAAAUGUGGGAUUCUUCUUUCCUUCCCAUCUCAAGCAGCUGUGAAGUGUUGCUCUGCGCUGGUAAACAGAUGCAGGCAUUUGCAUCUCAGAAGUGGCUGAUCCACACGUCCCAUAAUUUACCACGGGGGUGUUGUGAGGCUAGUUAUUAUUUGUGAAGCAUUCUGAAUUCCCUGUGUUAUAGAUACCAAAGAAGUGAAAAUCUACAUUAUUAAAUGGAUUUUUUAAAAACUGGAACUGCUAUUUUUCUCUUUACAAUGGAAUUUCUCAAGUGUUUGGGGGACUUUUUACUACACAAAGCUGCUGUUAAAAUACUGUUGGAGGUGUGAUUUUACAUUAGUUUAAUCUGUUACUGUUUUCAACAGUGAAGAAGCAAUACACAUUGCAAUAAAAUCAAAGGGAUAUGUAGUAGGCAUAAGAUCACACUGUGUGUAUGCUGUAUUGUCCCUGUAUUUUUAGUUUAUACUUGGUUACCAAGCUCCAGACAUUUUUCAGCAACAGCAGACUCUGUAAACAGGCUGAACUUGCAAAGUCCAUUUUGAUCUUCUAUUCUGACUACUAUGACUUGGUCAGCAUCUCACACAUGUAUAAAAGAACCUUGCUUCUACAGAUUCUGAACGAGCCAGAGGAGAGCGGCAAAACUAAAUGGGGGUAGGAAAAAAGUUUAGACUUGCCCUGAGCAAUUGUCCUCAGACCCAACAAAACCUCAGACCAAGAGAAAAUGAUCAACUGCACAGGAGGUAAAACAUGAAAUUUUUUUAGACUUAGUAUAAUCCCCACCUCACCCUUGUGGAUUUCAAGAAUGGGGCUUAUUGCUACACCAAUAAGUAGCUCUGGAUACCUAAUGUUACUUCAGACACUGCCAAUUUUGAUCACAGCUUCUAUGCUGUGUUCCGACCUAGGCUGCUCUGGGGGCUGGAAUGAAACCAGAGUAGUCUGAAGGUUUUAUUAAAAUAUACCCCCUGAUGAUCCAGGAUCUGGAAACUACAGCUGCACCUUCCAACUGCCAGAAGCCAUGGUCUCAAGUGCAACAGCCUUAAAUCUCCAAGUUAAAUCAAAUUGUUUUCAGUAAAACUUAAUUUAAGGAGUUUUCCACUCUGAGCUGUGCAUUUCAAAGCAACUGUUCGCAGCAAUACCAAUCCAGUACCCAGCAUUUGUAGAGUGGGGAUAAUACACUGCACUUCUUACUUGCUUUGCUACAUAUACAAUAUGAAUACACAGGAAUACGGAAAGCAUACAGCUCAGUAAUUAAGAGUCUGGUGCCUUUGAGUCAGCUCCAUGACUCAGGUAGCAGUUUAUUGCAAAACCACACAUGGGCCUCAGGCAGAGUACAGCCAAGAAUUUCAUUUCUGUAAGUCUCAAUUGCUGCCCCCACCUCUCUCAACCUCACCACUCAGCUGGUUUCACAUUACGGCUAUUUCGGCCUUCAAUAUACCGCCUUCCUCUCCUGCCCCGCUUUUCGUAGCCUCUCCGAGACUCUCCUAUGCUUCGUAAAGUUAAAGUUAGCAAAUCUGUUUGGAAAACGCCAAACCCCUGUUUUCAGCACAAUGAAGAGGUGCUCCAAACUGCAAGAUUUGGCAUUAAUGGGUGAAAGGUUGGUUUUAUUCUCUUGGCCUCUUUCCACGCUGCCUUGGCUAUACUAGCUAUAUUUGCAUGUAAACUGAAAAACAUAGGUUCUUUAGACAACUUUUGGGUGUGGGGGCAGUUUAGACAGGAGUCUUGUGUAGAGUUUGUAACAUACAUGUUUCAUGAGCUUUAGGCGCAUGGCUAAGUUUGUUCUGUUGUUGUUUUAAAACAUACAUAAAGGCAAUAUACUUGAUUAACUGCACGGGAUCCUGGAACCAGGAUUAUUGCUCUAGGAGCCAUUUUGAAACAGAUAAUUUAGAAAGGUUUAACACUGGCCCUACUGUACCAAAACUAUACAUUUGAAAACAAUGUUUGCAAGUAAUAUCUUCCAUACACCCUGCCAAGAAUGUUUAAGUAAGUGAACAAAACCCUCUGUGUGGUAUUCUGAGUGCUUGGUUCUGAAUCAAGGCAGAGUAAUGUCACACUGCGGGGUGGGUUGCAAAUAAGACAGUUCAAGAAUGAAACUGCUUACUUGCUCUCUUUCUGAAUACAUCAGCACUCUACAAGCAUUACAUGCUUCCAAUCAAACUCAAGGAGUAGGCUGCAAAGAGGAGGGUAGGAGGAAGUGCAUGUGAUCUGCUCAGCUUCAACAGCACCCACUGCAAUAUGAUUCAAGGAUCAGCACAGAUGUCUCCCCAGCAAAUGCACUCACUUGCUCAAGAUGAGGGAAGUUGCUCUGGUGGCAGCUAAAAAGUUUGUUGCAAUUUAAUGGACAGAGAAUAGGUGGUUUGGAAAUCGACUGGGGAAGGGGAAAAGGUAGCAAGAUCAGGGCUGAAGGGAGGAGGACAUGGACACAGAGAAAACAAACAGGAAAGGAGAGGAAAGGAAAAGAAUAGGUCUUCACUUAGGCUAUGUCUACACUGUGCACCUUACAGCGGCCACACAGCUGUGCCGUUGUAAGGUACGUAGCGUAGUUGCUCUUUGUUGGCAGGAGAGAGCCUGCUGACAAAAUAAAACCAUCCCCAAUGAGGGGGUGACAGCUUUGACAGUGGGAGAGUGUCUCCCGCAGACAAAACACUGUCCACACUGGCGUUUUUGUCGACAAAAGUUUUGUUGGUCACACCCCAACUGACUAAAGUUUUACCAACAAAGUGCAGUGUAGACAUAGCCUAAGUGCCACUCCUAAAAGACUGGAACACCUGCCUAAGUAGCUCACACCCUGCACAGGGACACAAGGGCAGGCAAACACAGAAAACACCUAUGCAACAAUACCUAAUAAUGGCUGCUACCGAUCAGCAUUGAGGCACCAACUGUAGUUCAAAGUCACCUUCAAUUUAGAAGAUAAAACAGAGAUCUGAACAAACAAUGGCUAUUGCAAAGAGUAUUCACACCUACUGCCAAACAUGUACAGUAGUUACUUUACAUAGCAAAGCUGAAAUAGAAGUAUUUGAGAAGAUACCAUCAGACACACGGUGGCAAAAAAGACAGAGCUCAAACAGUAAAUAUCACUACAAAUACAUGCAACAGGGUCACCAUUUUCUGUUUCAACUUUGAGAGAGAGAAAUGCCCCAUCAGCAGCAGGAGGAGAGAAAGACUUACCCUCAGAUUCAGUUCCCACAUAUUUAGGGCUGAAUUUCACACCAUAGCCAUGAAACACAAACAAAAACAUCCUCAAAAACACCCAGAACAAUAGGUACUGAACUCCAACAAACUGGGCUGCAUUAUGUCAAUGAACUGAGGUCAACUGUGUGACUGAUUUGGUUAACUGAGACCUUGCAAUCCUACUUCUCACAACAGCUGAAAUCAAAGUUGGAAAAAAACCCUUCCUUCUCCUCCCAUAGAGUAUUCAGAUAAGCAGAAUCCUUCCAGAGAGAAACAGUGAGAAUGGCUGAUGGAUGUUGAAUGUGCGGUGGAAGACCCAUUGUCUGAGACAUCAAAGACUUUCAGUGACUUGCUAGCCAGCAUUUGAAUGGGCAUUGCGAGAUGUGUGUGAUUAGAUAAGUGUCUAUCUCGCCACACGUGUAUAAAUUGGAGAUUUGGGGGCACUCAUCUGGGAAUGCAUAAGCUAAGUAGGCAACAUGGUACACACACACAAAUAUGUUGCUACUAAUCUACUGAAAGUCAGACCCUAAAAUGGGACAAGACUCAAACCGUGCAGCAGAGUGCAAUUCCCCAAUGGCAGAGGUGGCGGGGGAAGGAGAAUGACAAGACAACAAACCUUUUCCAUUUCAAUGUCUGAUUCUUUGAGUAAAGAAAAAACACAGCAUGUUCUUGCUAAGCAUCUUACUCGCACUGCACCAUGUACCUGAAACUCCCUGCCCCCAGCCAGUGACUGAGUCACUUCCUCUCCUUGUCUCUCAGACAGGUUGUUAGAAACUCACCCACACUUUCUCAGUAUAUGAAGGGUGUCAUUUAAAUGCACUGUUGUGAGACUGAAUUACCAUUUUGCAGCCCCUGCUCCACUUCCUGACUGACACAAGGUGGCCAUUUUGCUGUGUGUGUCAGUGCCCGUUCAGCAGCGCCCCAGCUACUCAGAUGAGACAUGACUCGGAGCGAAACUUGACAUUUCCCAUCCUCUUUGCCAAGGACCAACUCUGCAGGAGAAGGGGGAAGGUGUGUUCUGAGGAGGCGUCAGUCUCAUGACUGCAAAAGGGUGGAGUCAAAGGUUGCUGGCAGCAGGGAGGAGCUGCAAGACAGGGUAGGCAAGUGGCCUCCAACUAGCCCUGGCGGCUGCUGCUCAAUAGCAUUCUGAAGGCAGCAAGAAAAUGGGGUUAGGGAAGAAUCUUGUGUGCCGAAGCUGCUGAAAGCAGGGCCAUCAAACCCCCCUCAUCCGCUUGUCCUCUGCUCAGAUUACAGGCUGGCUGCAGAACCUAGGCAGGAUGUUGAUGGACGAGAUAGAAAGAGCCAAGCUUCCUUUUCACAUCCCAAGAGGAGUUUGGAGCACUCCAAAAAAUAGCCUUGUCUUGUAAACUGAGACAAUUACCCCUCGACACCAUUGGAAAAUUAAUGCAGAGCUUCACAAUGACAUUUUAAUAAUUGUUAUGGUCACAUUAUCCUUGAAAUAGCCUACAAUGAACUUAUGACUCCCCUUUCCCUGCAAACACAUUGUUUGGUUGAGAAUUUAAAUGUUAAAAGGCAGCAGUGAAGGUUCCAACACCAGGCUUAACUCUUUUCCCCUCAGUAGCCCUGGCCACACUGGUCAGAGACUCCUCAACUCAUUCAAGUCAGACAUAGCCUAGGACACUGGGAAUAAUCAGAUGGUCACCAAGCCAAGUACUAUCCAGAAUGCAAACUGCUUAGCUUUGAAAAUGAGUCAAGAUCACACCUUUUCAGAGCAGUAACACAAUCUGUUCUCAAGUGACCAGGGGCUGCCCUCUCUCUUUCAAUUUACUGUGACCUCUAUCACAUAUUCAUUCCAUGAUGUAUUUACUCAUCAAUAUGCCAAGAAUGCAAAAAUGACGAUUCAUACCUAGAAAUGGCAAUCAAUUUGAGUUACACUUUAACAAGAUAAACUAAGUUUUGGAAACUGUCUCUCAGGACAGGGAGUUCGGCAACAGAAGAAACUGCCAUUCAGCACAAUGAAAUUCACAGAAAUUCGACUCUAUCCCCAAGCAAACCAAACAUUAUUUAUUAACCAAUUGACAAAACUAUGCUAGCAACUUGGCUCAGACAAUCCUUGGGUACGUUUUAAAACCAGCCUUACAAACUUUUAAUCCAAACAAAAUCAGUCAAUAACUCAGUAUACUGACCAUGUGACACAGACUAUACCUUGUCAUAUCAGACUCUGACUGUUAUAUUUAACUUGGGAAAAAUAAAUGCAAAAGGCCCUAAUCACAUUGUACAGAGGUCGAGUUGUAUCCUCCUGCUUAUUAGAACCCCAGAACCUUGUGAUGUAUAAGACUAGUCCUACAGUUCAAUUACAUGUAAGGAGUUAGAGAAAAUGGAAGUGGAAAACCCCUCCUAGUACCUGUUACGGCACAAGCAGGGGCCUUGUGCAAUCUGGUCUUAAAUAACUCAGACAACAGGGCUUUCAUCCCUUUCCUUGGAGUUUAACCCACAGUCCAGUAGACGUCACUGUUAAGGAAGUUUCCCUGCUACUCCCUUUACCCAUUU